This 4526-nucleotide long non-coding RNA is filed under the name Lactuca sativa (garden lettuce). Its description in RNAcentral is "long non-coding RNA (LSAT_LNC001518)". Lineage: Eukaryota; Viridiplantae; Streptophyta; Magnoliopsida; Asterales; Asteraceae. The record is from RNAcentral.
UAUUGACGAUGACAUCCCAAAUGUUUUAAAAUGAAUAAAAAUACAUUUCUUCAGAAAUGCUUUGAUAACGUACUUAUCAUGUUUUACUGGGAACAAAUUCCACAACAUUUUUAUUAUAAAAAAAGGUUCUCAUAUUUUUAUAAAGCAUAAAUAAAAUCGGUCUUUUCUGUCCGUGAAAAUGGGGAUGUCACAGUUGGUAUCAGAGCAUUAGUUUAAGCGAACUAGGAAUAAGGAUUUAUUUCUAGACUUAAACUUAGAAUGCUAAGCGAUGAUUGUGAGAUGAGUGUCUGCUAUAAUUUAGACAGGAGCACUAGUUUAUUUUAGGAAAAUGCCUAAAAUGCUUUAUGUGCUAAAUGAUUUGUGUUAUAGCUAUAAAAAUGCCUUAUAUGCUGUUAUUUGUUCGGAUCUAUGGUCUGUUACCGACCGGAUCUGGAAACCUUAUGUAUUCAGGAUUCUAAGCGUAUGAUUACGAUAUUAGAACUAGUAUGUAACGUUUCAAAGUAAUAAGGAGAUUUAUAUGUCUAUCGUAAAUAAGAUCUUUUCUAUCUUAAAUUCUCUUCUCGGUACACUGAACGUCUGCUUGGGUGUACAAAACGAGAGGAAGAUGACAACCUGAGCCUAAGAAUGUGAUGGGCCAUGCAUCGGUCGUUGCACCUGCACCCGAACCUAUCACAGUGGCAGAAGUUCAGGAAGUGAUGCGAACCAUGAUAAACUGAGAAAAUAUAGGAAAAGAGACGGCUUACGAUACUAAAUAAUACCUAUAAGAAGAUAUAAUAAGAGAGGUAUCUUGCCUUUAGAAUACGUCUGAUAAAAUAAAAGUACGUCUAUAGAAGUAGGGUACAUCUGAAUGUACACAUUUUAUUGGCAGGAUGAUAGAACGAUUGAUGUAAUUCCUAAAGUUUUCCUAUCGUUUGGAAUACCCAUCACCAAUCGAGUUGAAGCAUAAUUGAUGAUUAAAGAUAUGCAUGGUAGAAGUCCUAGUAGAGCCUAGGGAAAUUUUUAUCAUUAUUUGGACACACUCGUAUGUGUUAAAUUGGUUCAUGAUUUUAGGAAUUGGGGACUACGAGACAAUACUUGGGAAGAGUAUGAGUAGGCGUGAAAGGUAGUAGAUGCAUAUACUACCGAAGGCACAAGACUCACGCUUGGAUUGGGGAAAGUCACAAGGUAACCAAGAAGCUAGUAAUUGAUUUCGUUUUGUUCAUGUAUGUCGUUACCAUCGUUUCGGUAAUGACUAAGAAGAUGAUUGUUAUUUCGACCCUAGUGGUCAUAUCAAUUUGACUCCGACUACGCUGAGUAUGUUAUGUGGUUCAGAGAAUCAAGUUCGAUGUAACAUCUGACUUAAGCCAUAGGAUUGAAGUAAAAGAUAAUUGAAGUGAUCGGUAGAGGUAUCGCGACGGUUGCUUGUAGCUAGAAAUGCUACCUUUUAAGAUGUGCUUAGAACAUGAAAGAAGGUAUAGUCUGUUCUGGAAUUUGACGCUAAAAGACAUGAGUCCAAGCGAUGCAUCAUAUGACGAGAGGUCAUCAGAACAUGACCCAUCAGUCUAUUAUGAUAAUCGAAGGAAGAAACUUAUCUCAAGUUUGUUAAAAAAGGAGUCUCCAAUAAAGAUCGAGAUAGCGACAUGAAGAUCAUGAUUGGAAGUCUAACAUGAGAUAGAGAGAGGGUCCAAGAUCGGGCACCGCCUGCAGUCAGGAAGUCUUAGAGUUAGAUACUCAUUCGAAGAAACAUCAAAGUUACAGUUAUUACUUAGGAUGAAGAGAUAACGUACGGAUUCAUCAUGUGAGUCAUGUUUCGUUGAUGAUUCCGGGACGUAAUCAUCCUAAGGGGGAAAUAAUUGUAACGCCCGUAGAUCCGGGCUAGUCAAUUUACAUAUAAUAGGGGUCGAAAACGACUUUUUGACAAAAGAUUAUUUAGAAUAAAUAAUCUUAACAAAGUUGUAGAAUAUGUCUCAAGGGUUCCAUACAUAUAAAGAGCGCCGAAAUCCGAUUUAUAACAAAGAAGUUAUGACCCGUCGAAGUUCCGCGACGGAACCGGCACGACACCGGGAAGAUGUAAAUAGUGAAUUUAUGAUAGAGCGACUUUUAGCCCUAGUAAUCUAAAAUAAAGUUGUAGAAUAUGUUAACCUGAGAGCGUCCAUAAAAAGAACGCCCAAAUCUGACUUCGUAUGAGGAAGUUAUGAUUUUUCGAAGUUUUGGCUUAGCGGUGUACGACCCGAAGUUCGAGUAUUAGAUCGAGCGGGUUUUUAGCCGACACAACCUAAACGAGAAUCGAAUAUCUCGUUAUUAGUAGCGUAACGAUAAGAAGACAAACAAAAAUGGACAUCGGAUGAAGAAGUUAUGAGAUUUUAACGGACCAAUCAUGUCCCGGCCUGUUAAAAAUAUAACUUUAAAAAUAAAGUCAAAAUUAGCCGACGGAGUCUAAACGAAAGUUGUAGAGUACGUCUCAACAUACGCGUGGAUAUAAAUAACGUCAAAAACGGAGUUCGUAUGAACGAGUUACAAAUUAUAUUAGCAUAUUUACGUAUUAAAAUAAAGUAUAAAUCAUAUAUACGUACACAUAUAUAUACAUAUGUAUAUAUCAUUAGAAAGGUAUCGACGAUCCAGUCAUUAUAAGACUAAUGUUGAUUUCUUUCGACAUUAGUUUAGUACAAAUAUCGGUAAAUUUAUUUAAAAUAGUAAUAUAAAGGGGUGUUUAGUUGUUUAUAUAACUAUAAGGUCAUUAAGUAAUUAUGGAGGGUAGUUUUUGAAAAUUCAAUUAGUAUAAAUAAGAGCCUCUAGCUCUUAUAUUUCUUGCACCAUUCUCUUAAUUCAAGAGUCUUUCUCUUCUUAUCCCCCGAACAUUUCGGUUCCUCGUGAUUCGACUUCUCUUUCUGUAGUUUUAGUAUAGUAAGGUGAGCGCUGAAGUGCUGCACAAAUCUUUCUUAGAAAGAUUCAGCGACGAAGUUCUGCCCCUGCAGAGCCCGACUCCUAGCUGAAAUCCCCUUGUAAGUAAAUUAUGCUUACCCUAUUUUAAAUAUAGUUUAUAUUUAAAAUUAGUAUUGUUAUUAUGAAUUUAUAAUAAAUAUUUGAGCUAUUAUUAUGACUUAUAUAAGUUUCGUUAUAAUAUCUUUUUAACUACUCGCGAUACGGGGAAUCUGGUUUAAAGGGCCGCAUAGGGUUGUUGGAUUUCAGAAGUGCUAUAUGCCAAAAUGGUCCUGCCCUCCGGUGUUUUAUGUCUGGCCCCUGUCUGUACAUAGUGGUUGGAAAGUAUUGUUUAAACGCUUAUAUAAUAAUAAUAAUAAGACUAAUAAUUAGUCAUGGUAAAUAUUAGACUAAAAUCUAGUGGUAAUAAUACUAGGUUUCGUCGAAAGAAAUUAUUUUAAAGUAAACGAAGCGCUGUCCGAGUACCGAGUCACCACCUUAUCAAGUGAGUGCAUGGUUACUUUCAUCUUACACAUAGAUAUGAAGUAUUUUAUAUAAACUACAUGCUAUGUGUGCAUAUUAUCUGAAUAUUUGUUGUCUAUGUUGGAUGAACUAUUUUAUACAUGUUUUAAAUGAUUUAAACUGUAUAUGUAUUUUAUAUCUACGAUAAUGUUGGGGUAAAACAUGGGUAGAUGUAAUAUAUGAGUUGGAUGAUGAGUUGAGAGGUGUUAUAGACCACGAGGUGAGGGUGAGGGGCGGAUGAUGUGAGAAGCCUUUUCCCAAACGAUAGCCCCGUCAUUCAGCAGAGUAUGGAUGACAACCACGGACUAUUCUAUACAGUCCAUUGGAACACUAGCAGACUCGCAACCUGUAAGUGUUGUGAACAAUGUGUUCACCCGGUGUACUGUAAACCCUGGUGAUCAUGCAAAACCUUGGUGAUCAUGCAGACUUGAUGCCUAAACCUUGGUGAUCAUGCAGACUUGAUGCCUAAACCUUGGUGAUCAUGCAGACUUGAUGCCUAAACCCUGGCGACUAUGCAGACUUAGUGCCCAUUGUGUAAACCAUGGCAACGAUGGGUAUCAUCUCAAUUACUUAGGAUGAUCCUUAGCAAUGAAUGAACGAGAGAUAACUGAUUCUUAGGGUAGAUCCUUAAGAAUAAAGAAGAUAAUGGGGAUGGGAAAUUGGGUUGAUUGCUUGAUUGUUUAAACAUAAUAAUUAUAUUAUUGUGGGUUGAAAACCCUAUGUACUCACCAGGUUUCCCAACCUGACCAACUGAGUUUAUUUAUAUCACAGGUGUCGAUAUGAAGUUACAUUACACUGAGAGACUAAGUAGAUAUAAAUCACUAGUGAUAAUGAAUGUAAGUUCUGUUUAUGCUUAUGUUUCUGUAUUGACGAUGACAUCCCAAAUGUUUUAAAAUGAAUAAAAAUACAUUUCUUCGGAAAUGCUUUGAUAACGUAUUUAUCAUGUUUUACUGGGAACAAAUUCCACAACAUUUUUAUUAAAAAAAGGUACUCUGAUUUUUAUUAAGCAUAAACAAAAUCGGUCUUUUCUGGCCUUGAAAAUGGGGAUGUCACAUACAACUACCAAUGACUAUCGUUACUAACAAGAUCGUUUCUCUCCAUGCCAC